UAAAACAAUAUCAUAAGGAUCACAUUAUUCCUUAUUCAUUUAUUAUAUAAUUUCUCAGUUCAUCAUACUAUGAACUUACUUGCCUGGAUCCCAUCCAAGGAUCUAGCCCAAGUUCAAUUUACCCAAUUUGGAGCCUUUGGGCUCGGUUUAAAACUAGAUGGGGUUCAUAUAGGUCAAUUGGGCUUUUAAUUAAGGAAUUGGGCUUGAGUCAGGGUCAGCCCGAGGCCAAUUUGGUCUCAAAU
This 242-nucleotide long non-coding RNA is filed under the name Phoenix dactylifera (date palm). Its description in RNAcentral is "long non-coding RNA (PDAC_LNC012145)". The record is from RNAcentral. Lineage: Eukaryota; Viridiplantae; Streptophyta; Magnoliopsida; Arecales; Arecaceae.